RNAcentral lists this transfer-messenger RNA (361 nucleotides) under Planctomycetota bacterium. It matches the Rfam family "transfer-messenger RNA". From Rfam's summary of the family: Bacterial tmRNA, also known as 10Sa RNA or SsrA, is named for its dual tRNA and mRNA-like properties. The record is from RNAcentral. Lineage: Bacteria; Pseudomonadati; Planctomycetota.
GGGGGCGAACAGGGUUCGACCGGAUAGGCGAAGCGCAAGUGGCGUGUCGUGGUUGAUCAGCAGGCCACGUUAAAAGCUGAUCGCAUUUUUAAUUGCCAAUGGCAAUUUCGCUUUGGCUGCCUAAUUAAAGGCAACCCGGGCUAAGGGCUGCUGUCGCGGUGGCCCGGACGUCCGUCACCAAUCGCGACUCGCUGCCAGUCACCGCCGGGCACGCUGGCAGCUAAACAAGUUCUCGGCUAGCUCCGCGGUAACCUGGUCGACUGGGUGACCGAAGGUGCGAAAUUAAAUCAGACGACUACACACGUAGAGGCUUGCGUAGAGAUAUCACGGGACGCGGGUUCGAUUCCCGCCGCCUCCACUC